GAGAUUUGUUCAUUUUCUCGCUCCUGUAGUAAGUGUGAACAUUUUUUUAGAUUCAGCACCUUCUCCAGCCCUUUGGCGUUUACUGAGAUCCAACAAUAGAACAAGUCCGGGCAUGAAUAAGAUUCAGGAAACAAAAGUAUGUCAGGCUUUGCCCUAAGACGAAACAAUCACAGUAAGUAUACCUUCGGAAAAUGCUCGUACCUUCAAGAAUACUUCGGAAACAAGUUCGGGAAGGCUCUGGAAGAUACGAUUUGUCGUGUGAUAUAAUGACGUCAUUGAAUGUUCAAUAUUUGAGAUUAAAUAUUAUUGCUGAACUUGUAUGAAUAAUCGAACUUGCUAAACGAAACCCUGGAUGAUCAGGAUGAAACGAAGAUGACAGCGCAUGAAAGUUUGCAGUCAAGCGAUCUUGUUGGUUAGCCGUUCUUCACGCUUUCCCAAUACAGUAUCUUGACAUAGUUGCAACAUUCAUCAAACCUUUAUUUUGUUAAUCUAGAGCUUGAAAUGUCCCUGUAGCAAUACGUGACUGUCAACUCUCAUCACUUAAGCCUGAUUCUCAUUUGUCGUAAACACCGGCGAUGCCCAUUGUCGGUGGUCAUUGAUGCAUGAAAUCUUUUGUGCAUUUUCUUCUUCGUAGUAGCUCACAGACAAUGGAUCGUAGAAAUCGCCGAUUAAUGAGAACCAGGCUUUAAAGCUUUAAGCAUAAUUCAUGGUAAAAAAAAUUUAAAUGAUGUCAAGAUGAUACCAAGCCGUAACUUUUUUUAUCGCUAAUUUUAUCAUUAGAUAUUAUUGACAUUGGCUAUAACGUGUGCACAGAGCUUUGGACAAUACCAGACAGGAUUAUACACAUAGGAUAGAAAUUUUAGCGGCCCUUUGUUGUAUGGAUUAAGAGCUAUGUUGCAAAUCCGGGUUGUGUCACAGCAGGUUAAUUAAUGAGGAGUUAAAUAAGAACGUGAUUCGAUUCUCGCUACGGACUCAUGUGAAAAGAGUCAGUCAACGAAAGUCGUGGGUUUUCUCCGGGGUGCUCAGGUUUCUUCUCACAGGGAAGUUGACAGGGCGGGUUAGGAUAAACACAGUUAAUUAAGAAACUAAUAUCACAAUUGUUGUAAAGAUAAAAUAGUCUACGCGACAAAAAACGCCGAGCCCUCUGCUCAACAGGAUUGAACACACUUGUCAACAAUAUUGAACAAUAUUGUUGAGCCUGAAUCGGGCGUAACAAUCUUGUUCAAGAUUGUUGACAACCAUGAACAAUGUGGGCAGCAAAACAUUGUUCAAUCCUGUUUUCAUCAGUAUUGCAACAACCUGAGCGUUUUUAUGCGUGUAGGCUCAGGCCAAGUACAGUCAGUAUGUAAUUAGGAAAGCGUAAUACUUGAUGUAAAGCGCAUUUAAUCAUAUCCACAUGGGAAUUUGCGCUAUAGAAAUGUUAAUCUUAAUAGAAUUUAAUUACAAAUCAU
This is a non-coding RNA of Paramuricea clavata, 1451 nucleotides long. The record is from the annotation of a GenBank genome assembly. NCBI's taxonomy places the organism in Eukaryota, Metazoa, Cnidaria, Anthozoa, Malacalcyonacea, Plexauridae.